UAAUCUGCCUGCGCUUCAGGUGCUUCUGUCAAAGAAGUGAAACUGGGAAGUUAGUAAAAGCAAUUUUAAUCCGUUGUUUUUUGAGCUGACACUGCCCCCGCAACGGUGAAUAGGGUUUUCUAUAUAGAAAUUAGCCCUUAAGUCCGGAGACCGGCCUGCUGCACACCUACACA
Molecule: non-coding RNA, 173 nt
Filed under: Acinetobacter bouvetii
Lineage: Bacteria; Pseudomonadati; Pseudomonadota; Gammaproteobacteria; Moraxellales; Moraxellaceae
Source: RNAcentral